RNAcentral lists this microRNA precursor (102 nucleotides) under Marmota monax (woodchuck). The record is from RNAcentral. Lineage: Eukaryota; Metazoa; Chordata; Mammalia; Rodentia; Sciuridae.
AGUGGGAUAGCUAGGUCAGAUGGUGGUUCAUUCCAAGUUUUCUAAGAAAUCUCCAUACUGCUUUCUAGAUUGGUUGCACCAAUUUGCAGUCCCAUCAGAAAU